UAUUAUAUUUAAUGUUAAGUAAUUACUGGAGUAGUAAUAGUUGUUCUUGAAACUCAAAGAAUUUGGCGGUAUUUUAGUCUUUUCAGAGGAAUCUGUCCUGUAAUUGAUAAUACACGAUUUGUUCAACUUGAUAUUUUUACUAGUUUGUAUACCGCCGUCAUAAGAUUAUUUUUGUUUUUGAGAAUUUAAUUUUCUUGUCAUUUUAUUAAAAGGUAUGUCAGGUCAAGGUGCAGCUUAUUAUUAAGUGGAGAUGGGUUACAAUAAAUGUAUUUUAUUACGAAUAAUUAUUUUAGGUUAAUUUGAAGGUGGAUUUGAUUGUAAAUUUAUUUUUUGAUUUUUAUGUUGAUUCGAGCUCUAAAAUGUGUACAUAUCGCCCGUCGCUCUCAUAUUUUAAGAUGAG
This 400-nucleotide ribosomal RNA is filed under the name Cardiodactylus canotus. Its description in RNAcentral is "partial 12S ribosomal RNA". RNAcentral also lists the same sequence under 1 other name. Lineage: Eukaryota; Metazoa; Arthropoda; Insecta; Orthoptera; Gryllidae. The record is from RNAcentral.